GACGAACGCUGGCGGCGUGCUUUACACAUGCAAGUCGAACGGAAAGGCCUGCUUUCCCUUGUGGAUUGCGGGUACUCGAGUGGCGAACGGGUGAGUAACACGUGAGUGAUCUGCCCCCAACUUGGGUAUAAGCCUGGGAAACUGGGUCUAAUUCCCGAUAGGACUGCAGGGUGGUGCCUGUGGUGGAAAACGAUUUUCUAGUGGUUGGGGAUGAGCUCGCGGCCUAUCAGCUUGUUGGUGGGGUAAUGGCCUACCAAGGCGGCGACGGGUAGCCGGCCUGGGAGGGUGGACGGCCACAUUGGGACUGCGAUACGGCCCAGACUCCUACGGGAGGCAGCAGUGGGGAAUAUUACACAAUGGGCGGAAGCCUGAUGCAGCGACGCCGCGUGGGGGAUGACGGCCUUCGGGUUGUAAACUCCUUUCGACCGCGAGGAAGCCACCUGGUUGGAAGGGUGGUGACGGUAGUGGUAGAAGAAGCACCGGCUAACUACGUG
This 494-nucleotide ribosomal RNA is filed under the name uncultured bacterium. Its description in RNAcentral is "partial 16S ribosomal RNA". It matches the Rfam family "Bacterial small subunit ribosomal RNA", at positions 28 to 507 of the family's 1533-position model. The record is from RNAcentral.